AAAUGUGGAGGAGGGGGUGGGUAUAUAUAUGCUUUCCACCUCCUCAAUGGAUGGUCAUGAUCUAUUUAAUCCUACGGUGGAGAUUCGUCUUCUAGAAUACUCCACACUUUUCUUACAAAAUAUCUAGAUAUUUUUAUCACCUACACUAAUCUAGAAAUAUCUCUUAUAAAUAUCUCCUAACUUCUAUAAUAUUCUACACUAUUCAAUAAUUUUCCAAAAGUUACACUU
This 228-nucleotide long non-coding RNA is filed under the name Nicotiana benthamiana. RNAcentral describes it as "long non-coding RNA (NBEN_LNC029527)". The record is from RNAcentral. Lineage: Eukaryota; Viridiplantae; Streptophyta; Magnoliopsida; Solanales; Solanaceae.